GAGUUUGAUCGUGGCUCAGGACGAACGCUGGCUGCGUGCUUAACACAUGCAAGUCGAACGCUGAAGCCUGGUGCUUGCACCGGGUGGAUGAGUGGCGAACGGGUGAGUAACACGUGAGUAACCUGCCCCCGACUUCGGGAUAAGCCCGGGAAACUGGGUCUAAUACCGGAUACGACCGUCGGACGCAUGUCUGGUGGUGGAAAGUUUUUUCGGUUGGGGAUGGGCUCGCGGCCUAUCAGUUUGUUGGUGAGGUAAUGGCUCACCAAGACGACGACGGGUAGCCGGCCUGAGAGGGCGACCGGCCACACUGGGACUGAGACACGGCCCAGACUCCUACGGGGGGCAGCAGUGGGGAAUAUUGCACAAUGGGGGAGACCCUGAUGCAGCGACGCAGCGUGCGGGAUGACGGCCUCGG
RNAcentral lists this ribosomal RNA (415 nucleotides) under uncultured bacterium. RNAcentral's name for it is "bacterial SSU rRNA". It matches the Rfam family "Bacterial small subunit ribosomal RNA", at positions 9 to 420 of the family's 1533-position model. The record is from RNAcentral.